RNAcentral lists this ribosomal RNA (216 nucleotides) under Glomeromycotina sp. RNAcentral describes it as "partial small subunit ribosomal RNA". The stretch from base 40 to 216 matches the Rfam family "Eukaryotic small subunit ribosomal RNA", at positions 686 to 864 of the family's 1831-position model. The record is from RNAcentral. Lineage: Eukaryota; Fungi; Glomeromycota.
GGGUCAGUAGGUUGGUCGUGCCACCGGUACGUACUGGUCUCACUGAUUCCUCCUUCCUGAAGAGCCGUAAUGCCAUUAAUUUGGUGUUGCGGGGAAACAGGACUGUUACUUUGAAAAAAUUAGAGUGUUUAAAGCAAGCUAACGCUUGAAUACAUUAGCAUGAAAUAAUGAAAUAGGACGAUCGAUCCUAUUUUGUUGGUUUCUAGGAUUGACGUA